Non-coding RNA from Neotoma lepida (desert woodrat), 45 nucleotides. Lineage: Eukaryota; Metazoa; Chordata; Mammalia; Rodentia; Cricetidae. The record is from Rfam.
CCAAAGGCCCUUUUCAGGGCCCCCAAAGCCUCAAAAAGGAGCUGG